GUAGCUCAGUUGGUAGAGCAUCCGGCUGUUAACCGGCAGGUCGCAGGUUCGAGUCCUGCCUUCGGAGCCA
RNAcentral lists this transfer RNA (70 nucleotides) under Lysinibacillus sp. S2017. RNAcentral describes it as "tRNA-Asn". It matches the Rfam family "tRNA". From Rfam's summary of the family: Transfer RNA (tRNA) molecules are approximately 80 nucleotides in length. Their secondary structure includes four short double-helical elements and three loops (D, anti-codon, and T loops). Lineage: Bacteria; Bacillati; Bacillota; Bacilli; Caryophanales; Bacillaceae. The record is from RNAcentral.